UCUCUCUCUCCCUCGCGUCGCCCAGCAGUGUGACCGUUCGCCUUCCAAGCGACGGCUCGGCCACCACAGGUCGAGCCGAUCUCCGCCGUGGGCACCUACGGGUCCACCUCCGUGUCGCCGUCGCAACCUCACCAACCUCCACCCCGGGCCUGCCCUGACCUGGCCGGAAAAUCGUGUUUUCCGACGGAGGUUCGUCCGAAGCUACCCAAACUUCCAGCUCGAAAUUCUCCUUCGUUUCUCCACCAAAUCGAUCGAGUGAGGUAUGGUUUCUCAACUAUUUUUCGUGUUCUAGCUGAUGGGUAUAUGGGCUUCGAUCGAUUUUAGCGUUAAGGGGUUCGAUUUUCGACUUGAAGUUUGGCCGAAACUUCGGCCCUUCGAAACUACUAUUUCUGGUCACUUUUUGGGGGUGGUCCAAGAACAAAAGUGACUCCAAAUGGGGUGUUUUACCUAGGGCAGGAGUUUGGAGUCUUGGUUCCGAGAUUUUUCGGCCACCCGAAAUCGCUUUGGACACCCAAAGCUGCCCGCGCGAGCUGGAGCGCGUGGGCGACGGUAGUGAUGAAAUCCUGUGCAGUUUUGUGACCCUCGUGUCGUCACGAGUGCGUAGGGUUUCGCGGAUCUUAAUUCGGAGUCCGUUUGAGCCCCGAACGGAUUUUCCAUAUCGCGCGAUCCGUGGGUGCAGUGUCGUUUAAUCGUUGGAUCGCGCUGAACUUUGGAUAUGUCGGUCUACGUGAUUUCAGGAUCACGUAGGAUUCGACGGAUUGCGAAUCGGAGUCCCGGAUACUCCGAAAUCGCGAACCCUGGGGCUAGGGUUUGGAUUUUAAACGAUAACGCGAUUUUUGCCAAUCCGACCGUCCGUUUUGGACCAAACUCGCAGAACAUGGUUCCCUCUCUGUAAGGAACCUUCAGGGAAGCCCAGAUUGGCCAUCGGAGGUCGUGGACCCACGGGGUCCCGGGUCGGCCGAUCGGGCAGUGUAUCGCUUAGCUGAGCGUCGGACCUUUUGAAACUGGUCCAAGUGUCUGAAAAGGCUAAUAUGGGUUCAGGAGUAACUUGGAUUUGAACGCACAUAUUUCUAGGAGCCGGGGGCAGGGUGUUUAAUUGAAAUUCUUUUAUUCAACAGUUUAUUAAUUUAUUAUUCAUGAAUAAUCAAGCAUCAGAGGUCCAGCCGAUCAGCAGGAGGAACCUUCAAAUGGCCAAAUUAGCUCGGACCAUCUGUGAGUGGACUUUCUUUCACGAAUUAUUUUAUAUAAAUGAGUUAUAUAGAGAACUUUCUAUAAGUAAGAUUUCAUAAGUGAUUUUAUAUUGAUUUUAUAUAAAUGAGUUUAUUUGAAUAAAGUUCUUUAUUUGAUCUUGAGUAAACCUGAUUGUGGUUUUGAACAUGAUUAGUACAGUAAUAGUUUUAUAAAUCUGUGCUGCUUAUUUACCAGCUAUAGAAACAGAGUUUGAGAUUGGAAUCAGUUGAAAUAGCAGCACAAUUUGAGAUUUUCUUUUUCUAAAGGAAUUUAUUUUAAACCCACCUCGUACCCAUUUUCUUUGGUGAUUACCCAGAGUUGGGCCGAUGUCUACGGACAUCCGGCCCGAUUUCAGUUUAUGUCAGUGCACUCGACUUUGCCUCACGAGUUUCGGGGACGCCGGACCGUGAGUGCCAGGAUUUGAGGCUCGGCAGACUUGGUGUCCCGAGACAGCCAGGAUUGCGGCUUGCGUGUCCCCGAGACCCGCCAGAUUGCGGAUCAGGCUGACUACGGUCCCCUGAUCCUGCCAGAGCUACUCGAGCUGACUUGGUGUCAUCGAGGAAUCUGCCAGCGGGACAGGCUGAUCAUAGUCCCCUGAUUUCGCCAGUUUGCGGCUCGGGUGGACUGUGUGGCGCCCGAGACCUGCCAGGGAAUUGACGGAUAUGACAGGGGUACAAAUAGGUGGUAUUUUCAAAGGAUUUUGAGUUUUCUUUUAUUCAAGGAUGAUUUUCAGCCAUUUUAUAUUGGUUUCUCAGUAAUUGCACAUUUAUAUUUUUGUAUUUUUAUUCAGUUAUGCCAGUUCUUUGAUUUCUCCAGGCAGUGAUAUUUUUAUAUAUCUGAUCGAUUAUGUAAGUUUAUGCAUCAGCAUACUGAUUCAUGCUUAUAGAAUCUUUUAUAUUGAGAUAUAGUUAAAUCAUUGAUAUAUAUAUAUAUAUAUAUCCUUAGUUAUUUCAAAACGGGGGUAUUAUAUUCUGACUUGUUUUUAAGAACUUCAUUUUUGUCCACUCACAAUUUAAAACUUGUUUUUCGCCCCCAGGUCGUAGAAGUGCACAGGAUCCACCACCGGGCCACUCAUAGCCUCCGCGCUUCAAAGUCAGGUAGAGUUUAGUAGAAAAUCCCUGAAAUCUUGGAAUUUAGAAAAUUGCUCUGAUAUCGAGUUUUAGUGGAAAAACUGAAACUGGCGAUUAUUGGUUUACCCUAUUCUGGCAGUUGGUGUGGUUUUGUUGAAUGUUUGACAGGUGAAAAAUUUUGGGAUUGGUCAAGAUACAGGGGAGACUCUGCCGAAUUUUCGGCAGAAGUCUAAGGGAAUUUUAAAGAAGAGUUGAAGCAAGAAGGGUAAAAAGGUCCCUUGUGCCCGACAUUCGCCAGGUGUCGGAUACGCACGGGACUUGGCUCGAAUUCCAAAAUGGAAAUUGGGUCGGGUCCUGUCAAUAUUAGUUGGUCUUUAAGUGAUCAGUCGUUAGACAAACAUAUUAUGGGUACUCAAAAAACGUUGGCGAAAGCUGUGUGAGCAUGCAACUGUUUUGGAUCCUAUAUUUAUAUGGAAAUGACUUGUGUUGUGCAUAUUCUUUUCACUAUUUUUCUUAAACAAUAUUAUAUUAUUUUCACUGUCUAUUUUCAAAACUGGCCGGGAGCCCCCUUGCUGGGCAAAUGAAUGUAUGUGAUGCUCAGCCCUACUUUUCCUUGUAAAUCAACAUCCUAAUUAGAAUAGCUACCUGGUUAGGAUUCCUUGUAAUUAGCUAAUUACUCUUCCUUGUAGGAAAAGUCAAUAUAUAUAUAUAUAUAUAUAUAUAUCUUCAUCUUGGAUAAAUAUAAUAUCAAUCACAAUUAUUUAAUUGUGUUUAGUUUGAGUGUGACAAGUAUUGAAAACGGUGGUGAGGUACACAUUGGGUUGGCUAAAGUGGUGAGCAAAAAUGAUCCUCAUGACCUUAUACCUCAUAAUUUCAAUUUCAACCCAAGAUUUCCCCAAAUUUUUUAAAUCCUAAUAGCAAAAUAUAACCUAAUUCAUUGAGUUAGAGGAAGAAGACUUGAACGUGAUCCUAACAAAAUAAAAAUAAAAACAACACUUGUGGAUGAUAACAUAAUGUCUAUAAAUUGUAAAUUUUGAAAAACAUAGUGACCAAAUUGAAUUUUCGUGUAAAAUUCAGUGACCAAAAAGGUAUUUAACCUUUAAAAAAAUGUUGUGAAUUAUGCCAGUUGAUCAUGACAAUGUGCUUAUCCUUUUGCACAUGAGUUUACUCCCUUAGCAUAUUUUACAUCAUGUUAAGCUAUAAUUGACAAAUUAAAAAUAGAUAAACACCAAACAUUCUCUUCAUAUCAUUAGAGAUGUAAGCUAUGAAGCAUUUCUCUUCUUUGAUAAAGGGUUUAAAGGUUAAGUAGUUCACACUAUUUACUCUUACACUUUAGAUCAUGAUUCAUGUGUGUGAUUUCUCUCUCCUAAUAUCAUUGUAUUAAUAAUUUUAAAAAACUCGAAUGUUCGGACAAUAAAUAUCUUAAUUGUUAAAAUUAAAAUAUAAUUUUAUUAAUUAUUGGAUUACAUACAGUCCUGAUCUCUUGGACCUCUGUAGUCCAAGAGAUUUAUGGUCACUCACCGUUGGAUGUAAAUUCAACGGUUGACUUGAAUCGGAUAAUAAUCAUUUAUGUCAUAUUGCAUUUAUAUAUAUCAUUUUGAACCAUUGGAUUAAUAUCCAACGGUAGGUGACCAUAAUCUCUUGGACUCCUGUGGUCCAAGAGAUCGGGACUGUACAUAUAUAGUGCAUAUUAAAUUUACUAACACAUUUAAUUGAUGGUGAAAAUUAGAAGUCGUUAACUAAUUCUUAACUUAAAAUCUUUAUUUUCAUUUUUUUUAACACUUAAAAUCUUUAUUAGAAAAGCCUUAUUUUGUGAUUAUUUUAUUUUCUCUUACAAGAUGGUCUCUAAUUAAAGCGGGAGACCUACCACUACUAAAC
RNAcentral lists this long non-coding RNA (4178 nucleotides) under Prunus dulcis (almond). RNAcentral describes it as "sRNA ncRNA". The record is from RNAcentral. Lineage: Eukaryota; Viridiplantae; Streptophyta; Magnoliopsida; Rosales; Rosaceae.